AUUGAACGCUGGCGGCAUGCUUUACAUAUGCAAGUCGAACGGUAACAGCACUUCGGUGGCUGACGAGUGGCGAACGGGUGAGUAAUACAUCGGAACGUGCCUAGUAGUGGGGGAUAACUACUCGAAAGAGUAGCUAAUACCGCAUGAGAUCUAAGGAUGAAAGCAGGGGACCUUCGGGCCUUGCGCUACUAGAGCGGCUGAUGGCAGAUUAGGUAGUUGGUGGGAUAAAAGCUUACCAAGCCGACGAUCUGUAGCUGGUCUGAGAGGACGACCAGCCACACUGGGACUGAGACACGGCCCAGACUCCUACGGGAGGCAGCAGUGGGGAAUUUUGGACAAUGGGCGCAAGCCUGAUCCAGCAAUGCCGCGUGCAGGAUGAAGGCCUUCGGGUUGUAAACUGCUUUUGUACGGAACGAAAAGCCCUCUUCUAAUACAGGAGGGUCAUGACGGUACCGUAAGAAUAAGCACCGGCUAACUACGUG
This 482-nucleotide ribosomal RNA is filed under the name uncultured bacterium. RNAcentral describes it as "partial 16S ribosomal RNA". It matches the Rfam family "Bacterial small subunit ribosomal RNA", at positions 30 to 507 of the family's 1533-position model. The record is from RNAcentral.